This 443-nucleotide ribosomal RNA is filed under the name uncultured bacterium. Its description in RNAcentral is "partial 16S ribosomal RNA". It matches the Rfam family "Bacterial small subunit ribosomal RNA", at positions 338 to 795 of the family's 1533-position model. The record is from RNAcentral.
CCUACGGGAGGCAGCAGUGGGGAAUAUUGGGCAAUGGGCGCAAGCCUGACCCAGCAACGCCGCGUGAAGGAAGAAGGCUUUCGGGUUGUAAACUUCUUUUCUCAGGGACGAAGCAAGUGACGGUACCUGAGGAAUAAGCCACGGCUAACUACGUGCCAGCAGCCGCGGUAAUACGUAGGUGGCAAGCGUUAUCCGGAUUUACUGGGUGUAAAGGGCGUGUAGGCGGGAAAGCAAGUCAGAUGUGAAAACCAUGGGCUCAACCUGUGGCCUGCAUUUGAAACUGUUUUUCUUGAGUGCUGGAGAGGCAGGCGGAAUUCCUGGUGUAGCGGUGAAAUGCGUAGAUAUUAGGAGGAACACCAGUGGCGAAGGCGGUCUGCUGGACAGCAACUGACGCUGAGGCGCGAAAGCGUGGGGAGCAAACAGGAUUAGAUACCCCAGUAGUC